GGCUGAAGAGGCACACUGCACUGCCCCCAGAUUUGACUAAGUAUAUGGAACUAAUUUGUCCAGAAGAUCAUCUGAGAAGUGCUACUUCUCAACAACUCAAAUGUACACAUGAAAGAAAGCUGAAUUUCGGAAAGAAAAAAUGGCUUACCAGAAGCAUGGGUAACGGAAGCGUGGGUUUACCGGAAGCAUGGGUAACCAGGGAACCAGUCCCUUAACCUAAGCUUCCUGGCCGAUGAAGAAGAAUUUCCAUGCCCCCUUUUUCUCAUGAGUCCAUCUCUGUACCUGUUCCCAGAAAAAUUCCAAUUUGCCUGACGUCUUAAAACUUCGACAACAUUGUAAUGAAGAAUACCGCCUCGAUCCUUUGAUUGAGAAUGUACAGAUGUGAAGCCACCAUGAAGACCAGAAAAGGGUGUCAAGUACCCUGGAACUGGAGUAGAGACCUGUGUGGGAAGCCUGUUCUUGCUUCUGGGAAUGGAACCCAACUCCUCACAAGCAGCCAAAGUGCUUUUAACCACUGAGCCAUCUCUCCAGACCCAUGAUUCCUUAAUGAAUAAAACUGAGAAGUUUGGAAAGAACUUCUUUCGACCACCAAAAGCAAUAUUCUCCGGCGUCUCCGGUUGCUUUUGAAACAGCUUAAAUGUCAGUUCUCUUUUGAUACCUCAAGUCACUGAGAAUUAUUUUGUCUUGAUUAAAGAGACUUAUCAUUUUAAUGAA
Long non-coding RNA from Rattus norvegicus (Norway rat), 714 nucleotides. RefSeq lists it as uncharacterized. The record is from RefSeq and is a predicted model, not a curated record. Lineage: Eukaryota; Metazoa; Chordata; Mammalia; Rodentia; Muridae.